Molecule: ribosomal RNA, 370 nt
Filed under: uncultured bacterium
Lineage: Bacteria
Description: bacterial SSU rRNA
Rfam family: Bacterial small subunit ribosomal RNA
Source: RNAcentral
UAACGUAGCGAAAGUUACGCUAAUACGCAUACGCACUAAAGGUGGAAAGUGGGGGGAGUCUUCGGACCUCAUGCUCAUGGAGUGGCCGAUAUCUGAUUAGCUAGUUGGUGAGGUAAAGGCUCACCAAGGCGACGAUCAGUAGCUGGUUUGAGAGAACGACCAGCCACACUGGAACUGAGACACGGUCCAGACUCCUACGGGAGGCAGCAGUGGGGAAUUUUGGACAAUGGGGGCAACCCUGAUCCAGCAAUGCCGCGUGAGUGAAGAAGGCCUUCGGGUUGUAAAGCUCUUUUGUCAGGGAAGAAACGGUGAGUUCUAAUAAAGCUUGCUAAUGACGGUACCUGAAGAAUAAGCACCGGCUAACUACGUG